Molecule: non-coding RNA, 22 nt
Filed under: Rattus norvegicus (Norway rat)
Lineage: Eukaryota; Metazoa; Chordata; Mammalia; Rodentia; Muridae
Source: RNAcentral
UAUUGACUUGUUACCUGGGUGU